Molecule: transfer RNA, 65 nt
Filed under: Caliscelis shandongensis
Lineage: Eukaryota; Metazoa; Arthropoda; Insecta; Hemiptera; Caliscelidae
Also listed under: 1 other name
Description: tRNA-Ser
Source: RNAcentral
AGUUAAUUAGCCAAAAAGGCAUUAUAUCUUGAAAAUAUAAUUAAGAAACAAAACUCUAUUAACUU